GAUGAACGCUGGCGGCGUGCCUAAUACAUGCAAGUCGAGCGAACAGACGAUGCGCUUGCUCCUCUGACGUUAGCGGCGGACGGGUGUGUCACACGUGGAUACCGUACCUAUAAGACUGGGAUAACUUCGGGAAACCGGCGAUAAUCGCAGAUAAUCUAUUGCACCGCAUGGUUGAUUAGUGAAAUACGGUUUUGCUGUCUGUUCUCGCUGGAUCCCAGCCGCAUUAGCUAGUUGGUAAGGUAACAGCUUACCAAGGCAACCAUGCGUAGCCGACCUGAGAGAGUGGUCGGCGACACUGGAACUGAGACACGGUCCAGACUCCUACGGGAGGCAGCAGUAGGGAAUCUUACGCAAUGGGCGAAAGCUUGACGGAGCAACGCCGCGUGAGUGAUGAAGGUCUUCGGAUCGUAAAACUCGGUUAUGAGGGAAGAACAGAUGUGGAAGUAACUGUGGACGUCUUGACGGUACCGAGUAAGAAAGCAACGGCUAACUACGUG
RNAcentral lists this ribosomal RNA (497 nucleotides) under uncultured bacterium. RNAcentral's name for it is "partial 16S ribosomal RNA". It matches the Rfam family "Bacterial small subunit ribosomal RNA", at positions 28 to 507 of the family's 1533-position model. The record is from RNAcentral.